GACGAACGCUGGCGGCGUGCUUAACACAUGCAAGUCGAACGGAAAGGCCCUGCGUUUGUGGGGUGCUCGAGUGGCGAACGGGUGAGUAACACGUGAGUAACCUGCCCUUGACUUUGGGAUAACUUCAGGAAACUGGGGCUAAUACCGGAUAGGAUCUCCUGCUGCGUGGUGGGGGUGGGAAAGUUUCGGCGGGUGGGGAUGGACUCGCGGCUGAUCAGUUAGUUGGUGGGGUAGGGGCUGACCAAGGCUUUGACGGGUAGCCGGCCGGUGAGGGGGAUCGGCCGCAUGAGAAGGGGGACACGCACCUGGCGCCUGCGGGAGGGAGCAGUGGCGAACGGUGGACAACGGGCGCGAGCCUUGCCCAGCGGGACGGAGUCGGUGACGAAAGCGCUCGGUUCGGAAAGCCCGCCUGUGGGGUGAGAAAAGCUUCAGCCUGUGACGAAGCGUGAGUGACGGUACUCAAUGAAGAAGCACCGGCUAACUACGUG
This 488-nucleotide ribosomal RNA is filed under the name uncultured bacterium. RNAcentral's name for it is "partial 16S ribosomal RNA". It matches the Rfam family "Bacterial small subunit ribosomal RNA", at positions 28 to 507 of the family's 1533-position model. The record is from RNAcentral.